Anguilla rostrata (American eel) is the source of this 279-nucleotide long non-coding RNA. RefSeq lists it as uncharacterized. The transcript is spliced from 2 exons. The record is from RefSeq and is a predicted model, not a curated record. Lineage: Eukaryota; Metazoa; Chordata; Actinopteri; Anguilliformes; Anguillidae.
UAACAAUCAGUGGUGGUAUGGUGGGCCUUUCCCUCACACAGCUUGAUUCUGACUGAAGGGGAGAUAGUGGUGUUUUACAGGCACUACAAUUCUCAACUUGGAGACGUUAAAGCCACCGAGGUGAACCGUCAUUCACCAAGGUGAACCGUUAAUAUUUUACAUUAAGCACUCAUUAAAAAAUUUUUUUUAAAAAAUAAAAAGAUUUUGCAACAUUUGGUAUAAUGCCCUGCACAUCUAUUCAAAAUUAUUUUGCUUUCUUUUUAUCAGCAAACAUUCCCA